This is a long non-coding RNA of Cyprinus carpio carpio, 1892 nucleotides long. Lineage: Eukaryota; Metazoa; Chordata; Actinopteri; Cypriniformes; Cyprinidae. The record is from Ensembl.
UGAAAUAUUUACUUUUUUACUUUUUAAUUUUUAUACAUUUACAUAUUUAUAUUUGCAAUAUAUAUUUGCAUACAUAAAAUGAUUUAUAUUUUUAGCAGAUUAAUUUAUUCAUAGUGACCUACAAAUGAAGUGAUUCAUUCAAAGACAUCCCGACCAACCCGACACAGCAACAUCAGAUCAACCAAUGGGAUGACUCUUGGAAUCAGACAGCGGUUAAACUUUCACGCCGAAGACGUGCAGACGUGAUCGCCAGAAUGUCGCACCUGAUUCCUGAGCCCAGAGGAGAAUUUUAGCGCUCAGAUGUUGCUCUUUCAAGGCUCCAGAGACUUGAAGGCAUCAUGAAAUUUACAUUAUUUACUUUUGCAAUGCAUGUCUGUGGUCUCAUCGUGCAUGAUUCAUCAGUACAUGCUGUUUGAAAGGACAAAAAGAAAAGCACUUCCAAACUGAAUUUCUCACAGGUUGCUCAUUCAUAUCUCAAAAGACCUAUUGGAAAUCCUAGUUAUAUUUCAUGAAAGUCCAUCUGUGCCGAAUUGCUCACAAGUUGCUCAUUCACAGCUCAAAUAAGGAAAGCCCAUCCAAACGGAAUUGAGCACAGGUUGCUCAUUCAUGACUCAAAAGUCCAAAUAGAGAUCCUAAUUAUGUUUCAUUUAAGUAUCAACUUGGUUUCAGAUGUUUCUUCUAAAAUUCCUUUGAAUAAAAAUAAAUCAGUCAAUACUCAAGUACAGAGCUAUAAAAUGAACAUGGACAGCGUAGUUCAAAUCAUAUGGUCUCUGAAUAUUUUGAUGAGAAAUGUUGGAGUUCACAUUGAGAUCUUCUGUGCAGGUGCCAUUCGGUUUUGGCACUUCCUUCCCGCGCCCAAGUAUCCAGCCGCAUGAUGGAUGAAGCAAGCGAAUUGCAGUGUGCAGUAUUUUGCCGCAGUUGAUUGCAAACUGACUCCGGGUAACAUAAUUAUUUACACUGACACAAUAAUGUAAAAUGAUUAACAUCCGCUCAUAUUCAUACCCAUAUAAAUCACUGGCCCACGUCGAGUUCAUCAUUCGGGGAGGGCCAGCGUCUCGCCCUGAGAUUGGAUGGCGGCCAGAUAAGAAGAGUAUUAAUCGUGGAGAAUAUGCCGCAUGGUCGUUUAAAACUUCGAGAAAAGAGAGGCCCUGGCAGAGUGUUUGGCAGAGCGAUGGUUUCUGGCUCCAGCGGGCAGCGCUCAAGAUGGAUUACCACCCUCCAAACGUCCACGUCCGCACCUGACUUCUCAACAUAGAUGUCCUACCUGUGCAUGAAAUAGGGCUUGACCGGCCAACAUGCACUUUUUCUACCCCUUUCUCCCCCAAAAUGAGAAUUACUGCUGGGAGGCUCUGGACAAUUUUAUGUAGGGCUGGAGAACAAAAAUCAAUAUUUAAUUAUCUGUGAGCGUUUGGUGUCACUACAUCUUUAGAUCUGUAGGGUGGAGUGGACAGGGUCACCGGGCCGGUAAGUGAGUCCGUCAGUGACGAGGCCGUCUCGUCCCAAGGCUCCGAUUGGCCUGUCUUCAAUCACCACAAGAGUGAUGACUGAUAAGUCAUUUAUUCGUCGACCUGUGUGUUUGGAGAAGGCCACCUUAAGAAUGAGCCUGCGUGACAUGCGUACAGUACGCUUGAAGUUAAAUAUGGUUUUGACCUAUCAGAAAUAUGGCUUAAAUGCCCCACCUAGAGGUAGGAUGGGACACUUACUGCUUUGGUGGGUGGAAUCCAAAGCAUGCAUGUUGAGAGGAGUGUGAAUUCAUUUUAGUAACCAAAGAGCGGAGCAUAAUACUUGUCAGUAUUUUAUUAUUUCCCAAUUUUAAUCAGAAAUAGGAAACAUGCCUGUUCAGUUAAGGACCAUUUGAUUCACAGUGGGCUCCCAAAGUCUGAGAUCCAUUG